UCCGGUUUGGCACCGGCAGUCUCCCUAGAGUCCCCGACAUGACUCGCUGGCAACUAGGGACGGGGGUUGCGCUCGUUGCGGGACUUAACCCAACAUCUCACGACACGAGCUGACGACAGCCAUGCAGCACCUGUGCACGGACUCCGAAGAGGGGCCGGUGUUUCCACCGGCUUGCCCGUGCAUGUCAAGCCCAGGUAAGGUUCUUCGCGUUGCGUCGAAUUAAACCACAUGCUCCACCGCUUGUACGGGCCCCCGUCAAUUCCUUUGAGUUUUAAUCUUGCGACCGUACUCCCCAGGCGGGAUGCUUAAUGCGUUAGCUGCGCCACUGAAGGGUAAACCCCCCAACGGCUGGCAUCCAUCGUUUACGGCGUGGACUAC
RNAcentral lists this unclassified non-coding RNA (378 nucleotides) under uncultured bacterium. RNAcentral's name for it is "contains 16S-23S intergenic spacer region". The record is from RNAcentral.